Lolium perenne is the source of this 489-nucleotide non-coding RNA. Lineage: Eukaryota; Viridiplantae; Streptophyta; Magnoliopsida; Poales; Poaceae. The record is from RefSeq and is a predicted model, not a curated record.
CUUGCAUCACACUUUGACACAUAUCAUAGGUCCACAUGCAAGGUUUGGUGGGGUUCCGGUGCUCCGGCGGUCGUUAUCCCCCUCCUCCCCCCAAAACAGCGGAACGCGUGCCCCGGCGGGUCUACCCCCCUAGAUUUCUCCGCGCGAGGGUGCACCAAUGUAACUUUUCAUAGGUUUAGGUUUGUUUAGUCCAUGGACAUAUGGAAAACCAUGUGUGGCACCCUUUGGCACAGUCUAGCCCCCGAUAUACCCGCGGCGGGACACUUCAGCGUACACGUCCAGGAAUCUGUUAAGUGUUAUCGCCCGAAGGUGAGGGAUGUCAGACCGGGGAUCCAUGCCAUGCACCAUUUUGUGAAUCACACCUUGCAUCACACUUUGACACAUAUCAUAGGUCCACAUGCAAGGUUUGGUGGGGUUCCGGUGCUCCGGCGGUCGUUAUCCCCCUCCUCCCCCCAAAACAGCGGAACGCGUGCCCCGGCGGGUCUACCC